This 499-nucleotide ribosomal RNA is filed under the name uncultured bacterium. Its description in RNAcentral is "partial 16S ribosomal RNA". It matches the Rfam family "Bacterial small subunit ribosomal RNA", at positions 899 to 1397 of the family's 1533-position model. The record is from RNAcentral.
ACUCAAAUGAAUAGACGGGGGCCCGCACAAGCGGUGGAUUAUGUGGUUUAAUUCGAAGCAACGCGCAGAACCUUACCUGGGUUUGAAAUCCCGCGAAUCCCGUAGAGAUAUGGGAGUGCCCUUCGGGGAAUGCGGAGACAGGUGCUGCAUGGCUGUCGUCAGCUCGUGUUGUGAAAUGUUGGGUUAAGUCUCGCAACGAGCGCAACCCCUAUCUUUAGUUGCCAGCAUUAAGUUGGGCACUCUAGAGAGACUGCCAGGGUUAACCUGGAGGAAGGUGGGGAUGACGUCAAGUCCUCAUGGCCCUUAUGUCCAGGGCUACACACGUAAUACAAUGGCCAGUAUAAAGGGAUGCGAGCCCGCGAGGGGGAGCUAAUCUCAAAAAGCUGGUCUCAGUCCGGAUUGGAGUCUGCAACUCGACUCCAUGAAGUUGGAAUCGCUAGUAAUCGCAGAUCAGCACGCUGCGGUGAAUACGUUCCCGGGCCUUGCACACACCGCCCGU